This is a non-coding RNA of Staphylococcus sp. NAM3COL9, 148 nucleotides long. The record is from Rfam. NCBI's taxonomy places the organism in Bacteria, Bacillati, Bacillota, Bacilli, Caryophanales, Staphylococcaceae.
GGUUAAUGUAUUAUUUUACCUAAGACAGUAGGAGUUAGUGAUAACUUAAAAAUAUAUCCUGCCGAGGCUAAAAUUGACUUGAACGUGAAGAAUUUAGAUCUUUCAAGCACUUUUUGCCACGGGUAGAAAGUGCUUUUUUUAUUGAGUA